Dromaius novaehollandiae (emu) is the source of this 3407-nucleotide long non-coding RNA. RefSeq lists it as uncharacterized. The record is from RefSeq and is a predicted model, not a curated record. Lineage: Eukaryota; Metazoa; Chordata; Aves; Casuariiformes; Dromaiidae. The transcript has 2 exons.
ACAAGGUGGCGUUGGGAAUGGGAGGGUGGGAAUCUGGAGGGUGCCGGGGAGAGAGAGCACGUCAUAGGGAGAACUGCCCAACCUGGGGCUGUUCUGGGAGAAGGAGCACCUACGACUUACUGAUUAUGUAGUCCUGUUCUGUCCCCAUGCGUUAUCUCUUGUGCUGCUGGGUUGUGUAGGAGUGGUGGUACUUGUGGUUUCCCCUCCCGAGAGCAGAGGCAGAGCUGUGAACAGUGAGGACAGGGAGUGGGAGGAAUGCUAACGAGGCUGGUGGGACAUUAGUGGCCCUGCAGCUGGCAGGGAUCCGGUGAUGCUGGCAAAGCCCGGGUUUUUGGUGCCACCGAUGUGUUCCUGUGGGCUAAGAAGUGUGAUAUGGACGUGCAAAGCACUAGCACUGAUGUGUCAUUUGUGGCCAGGAUGCUCUUUUCCAGCAUAAGUGACAAGUUCGGAGCUGUGAGCCACUCAUCAGUAUCCACUCCUCUUCCAGAAAAAAAGCAGAUGCAAUAACUUUUCUCUUGAAGAAGUGCAUGACAACAACAACAGCAACAAAAAAAAUAACAAAAUAGCUUUCUGAUUUUGCUGUUGCUGCAAAGUGAUGUUACGCCUAUUUCCAGCCAUUCCAGACUUACGGACUGGGACAGGCUCAAGAUGUACCUAGGAGACACCUAAAAGCAAGGAAGAUGCACACACCUGGUCUUGCUGUUGUUAGAAGCAUGUCACUGGGAGUCCAGUGUGCAAAAGGAGGUUUUUCACUAGGGACAAGAGGAGAUGGUUGCGGUGUGUGUUGGAGCCGAUUAGGAGUGAAGGCAAGACUGCGUCCAGGCCUGACGGUCAGACCUUCCUUGCACAAAUGUGGUAAAUGACUACACCAGCAGUCAGCCCUGGACGCCACCCUGGUGAGCUGGUCACCUAAAUAUAGAUGACAUUGGCUUGUGCAAACCAUCCUGGAUUUCACAAGGUGAGGCGCUGCUCCAAGGUCAGUGUGUUGAGAUUGUCAGAGGAGUGACCCUGUGCAAGCCCAGGCAGUGAGGCUGUUGGCUAUUUGGCAGCCUGUAGCUGGCCUUGGUAAGAGCUCUAGGGAGGAUUUAAGAAAAGAAAAUGCCAGUGGAGCUGGAGAUUUGAUAUUUAUCUAUAUCUGUAUUCUUCUCCCUCAGUCAGCAGGCACCUGGGCCUGCUAAUGAGUGCUGUAACACUUGCCACAAUCAAAAGAAAACGUGAACGUGCAUGCCACAUUAGUGGUUGCUGUUUGAUGGAAGCUAAAGCUGCUGAGCUUCAAAGCUUAGCUGCUGGAACAUCAGAAUUUAUAAAAUUAUGCUUAAUCAAAUGAUUAAACAGUAUGAUUAAGCUGAAAUGCUCCUCCAAAAGGCGGUCCCUAAGGGCUGGUAGCUGGUACGCAGAGGCACCUGGACUAGUCCCAUCCAGUGCCACCACGGCAGAACAGGGCAGGAGAGGGGGGGUGUGCUGGAGCUGAGCUCUCUUAAACCACCCCGUCCAGCCCCUCUGCUCUGUCUUUUGCCCACAGGUGAGCCGCUGCCCUCCUGUGAAGCUGAUGGGCACGGCUGGCGCAGGCUCCUUGGAGAGGGCAGCCUCGCUGCCUCCCAUGGCUACCCUUCCAGGGUUAUUUUCCUGCCCUGCUUCCUCCACCCAACCCAUCACCCCGUGGCAGCCUUCCUCGUUGGUCAGGUCACUCAGUUCUUCCAGCCCUGGCACGCGCUCUUGCCGUGCGAUGAGAGGGCCUGGAGGGCACCUUGGGAUGGCAGCUGACCAGGGUAUGGAGCAGGACCCCGUCACUGCCUCCUUCCCCCAGCUCUGCUCCUUGGCUGGAUCCGGGCAGCCAUCUCAGAGGAAAAAAGGCGGCUGUCGCCACCACCCCUCUGCUCUGAUCAUGUUGUUACUUUUAAACUGGCUGUGGGCAGGCUGGUGUCUGAGUGAGUUCAGCGCUACCCUCACCAGGGCUGUUGGUGGCCGGAGCAGCUGUGACGCUGUUGGAGCUCGGAGCAGGGGUCUCGCAGGAUGAGCCCCGCGGACGGCAACCGCAGGAGGCCGCAACCGGAGCAAGCGAUGACACAGGAAAGGGAGGCAAGGCGUAUGUUUUAAAUACUUUUAUUUCUUAAUUUACAUAAAGGUAUAUAUUUGGCUUAUUUCUCUUUUUCUUAUACUCUGAGAUUCACAAUCAAUUGCUCUUAAAAAAUAAAAUAGCCAUUUGCUUCUGAAAGAAAUCAGAAAACUAUUUUAUACUCCUCCCUUGUAUAACAAGAAAAUACACUAUAUACUCCCAUACAUCACAUAGUAGAAGUGAUCGUAAGUGCUGGUUUACCAAACAAUAAAGCAAACAGAGAAGAAACCACACAAUUAGGACAGAGGGUGCAGAGAGGAACUCUGCUUUCCAGAGUACAUCUGUUCACUUGAGAGGGUUUUGUCACCCUGAGGUUCGUUCUUAGCUAGUAUAUAAAAGGCUAGAGGCUGUUGGGGUCUCCCAGAUUCUCGCUCUGUCAGCGAUGGCAGCCCGAGGCAUUACAGUUACUUAGGUCGGCAGCUCGCUGCUUUUGGGCCACUUCUCUUGCCUCUCUGUGCAGUUCCCAUUACCUCUAUUCCUCUUGCUCUGUACAAGCAACCUAAUUGCUUCUUCUGCGGUGGGUGCAUUGGUGCAAAUGCAGCGUUAGCUGUGGAGGGAGUUAAUGAUUGCUUAAACAAACCCAUACCCUUUAUGAAGCGGAGCAGAAGAACGCCCUCAUGACCAACUGAGCAGCUUUCCGUACCCUCCCCAGCGCUCUGGACACCCCACCCCUGCACGCUCAGGCACGGACCUGGAUGAAUGCAGCGGGCUGCGUGUGACGCCGGAGGACCCAAAGAGCGCCGAGCUGUUGGAAGGAGCCUGCGUCUUGCGGCAAGGCAUUGGAGACGAUCGGCAUUAAGGCAGAGGUGGGGAAGGAGCAGAGCACCGGGCAAGGAGCAGUCAUGGCCCCGAGGAGCGGAGUGAGGCAGCAGGUACCGGGGAGCGCGGGCGAUGCACGACGGCACCGGCCGAUUACCUGAGCACCCUUCUCCUCCCUGGCUCCCUGGCCUGAGGAGACGUGUACGUGCAGGGAAGGCAGGGCAUGUGUGCUGCUUUCUCCCUUUUGGUAGUAUUUUCCUAUCUGCUUUCAAAUGAAGUCAAGGGCUCCUUUUUAUGUACACUAAUGUUCAGACGUUCAUGUGCAGUCAUUGAUGUGCAAGAGAUCAGUGGCUUUAAAGGUAUUUCUGUCCUUAUUCGGACUACUGAAUUUUAUGUUGAAGCUGAACCACAAACAUAACCUUGAUGACCUGAACAACUGUAUAUUUAAGUGAUAAGCUGGAACCUUGCUUCAUUUGUUUUUAUGGAUGCUAAAAUAUGUGGAUUCUUGAUUAAAAUUUAUCUUUUCCUAUUA